CCCACCCUGUACUUACACUCUUUCCAGCCUCCCUACCAGUCCCAAAUUUCACUUUCCAGCCAUGCCUAAGGGCAGGCUGUCAAAUUUCAUUGCUUAAGCACGUUCAAGCCAAUUUCAGUUGGCAUUCUCAAUACCCAAAAUUUUCAGAUUUUCUUUUCACAGCAAGAAUUCAAGUGCAGAGCGGCCAUAGCUCGAUUCCAGCAACCAAACCAAGUUCCUAAAGGCUUUGUGGACCAAGGGGAUUAGCACUGCUUUCCCAAGACAGGUUAUGUGAUUAUGAUCUUCAGGCUUUGCCUAUCCAGGUUGAGCAGUUGAUGGAAUGGAAUGAUGUUGAGCGGGUGUUCCUUUGACAUUUCAAGAAAUGUAACCUUGAGUAUACAUCUUCAUAUGUAUAUCUCACACGUUUUCCGCUGCAAAACACUUUGAUUAGGAUAACUUUAUGUUAUGAAAUUGUAACACGUGUUAUUGGGUAAACCACCUUAAUCAGUUCUCUUUUAUGUGUAUGUUUUAUAAGUAUCCAAAUGAUCAUAUAUGAUCCUAGCUUUUUAUCUAUAAGUGACAUU
Molecule: long non-coding RNA, 563 nt
Organism: Salvia miltiorrhiza (redroot sage)
Lineage: Eukaryota; Viridiplantae; Streptophyta; Magnoliopsida; Lamiales; Lamiaceae
Exons: 3
Source: RefSeq, a predicted model, not a curated record